CAACCUUCAAGCACGGCUUGUGUGAUGGGUGACCGUCCCUCCGCUAGGCGGGACGCGCCCGAAAUGCAGUGGCUAGACCGCGAUUCCGGCGUCUGAGCGAAUGGGACAACCACCGCUUCUAGAACCGGCCGGCCCCGGCCCGACAACAUCGAUCCUCGCGGAUCAUCCA
This 169-nucleotide unclassified non-coding RNA is filed under the name uncultured Ctenomyces. RNAcentral's name for it is "sequence contains ITS2". Lineage: Eukaryota; Fungi; Ascomycota; Eurotiomycetes; Onygenales; Arthrodermataceae. The record is from RNAcentral.